Long non-coding RNA from Fukomys damarensis (Damara mole-rat), 1458 nucleotides. RefSeq lists it as uncharacterized. The record is from RefSeq and is a predicted model, not a curated record. NCBI's taxonomy places the organism in Eukaryota, Metazoa, Chordata, Mammalia, Rodentia, Bathyergidae. The transcript is spliced from 3 exons.
UCCGCCAUCUUCGGCUCCAGUGGGCCUGCGCGGCCGCGCCCUCCCCGCGGUGUUCCGCCAUCUUCAGCGCCCGAAAGGUCCAUCGCUCCACCCAGAAGCACCUCCUCGGGGACUAAGACAGGCACUCGGGCCUCAGGGAACACCCAGGUCUGCACUGCAGCAGAGAGGGACCCGUAGCAGACCCCUGGAAGCAGGAAACAAGAGCCAGCUAUUGGCGUAAUGAAGUGUUGCCGUCCAUCUGCCUUGUGAAGCAGCUGGCCUUUGAAGUCCUCCUCCAGCGUGCCUGGAUUUAUAUAUAGCUGUGUGUACUGCAAUGAAGACAUCAAGUAUGAAAAGUGGAGCAGCGCCCUCCUGAGGACAAAGUGGAUUUAACCAUCAGUGUCCCUCGAGAGUCCCUGGGUGCCCCAGACACACCUUGCCUAGGGAACCGCACCAGCUGCACAACUGGCAAGGCCAGAGCAGAAUAAAGACAUCAGGGUCCUUGUUCAGAACUUCCCAGAUUUUAAGGCAGUAAUAGCAGAGCAUUAUCCAUGGGAUCCUUUGAGCUGAGGCUUUGUUACCUGCUCUUGGAAUUGGCCCGACUUCGAAGCAUAGUUCUCCAUCCUCACCCUUACAGGGACAGCACGUGAUUCUCAUUACUGAAACCAAGGGACUUUUAGGUAUAUCUCCAUCCAGUGACGCUUAGUUUCCACGUGGGGCCUCGCAUGCAGAAAGGCCUACCAGGGGCACUCAGUUUUGUUUGGGGGUAUGUAAAUAGACCGUAUUCCUUUCAUUCUUUUAGCAUGAAAAGUUCACGCAAGUUAAUAAGAACUUGUAAAUCUACAUAGAUGAAAUUAUCUUUCGAAUUUAUUUCCUUUAAAGCAGUUCUUAAAGGAGCUCCUAAAAAAUUUCAGAUUUAUCAUGAUGAUUAGCCCUGAAGAAAAAAAGAAAUGAGAAUUUGGAAUGAGAACAUGGGAGAAAGGGCCUCUCAACUCUGUCUACAAAGUUUCAUUCCCAAAUCUAAAUGAAUAUUAAGAUUCUGUGCAGCAGGGUAGUAGGAAUACAUAUGUUACUGCAUUAAACGCUGUAAACUUCUGUGUUUGAAAUAUUUCACAGUAAAAGUAUUUUCAAAGACCCUAAACCAAAACAGUUGUGCUAAGUACAAUGUAGGGGAUGGUAAGAAUUUGAAUUCAAGUUCUGCUGUGCAGUGUGGCUCUAUUAUCUUGGUUUCAUUAGCUCCCUGAACCUCCCUUUGCUUGUAAAUGGAGACGAAUGUGUAAUCUUCGAGGUCUUUUGUGAGAUAUCAUUCUACUUCUGUAAAAUAAAGAAUAUGUUUAGAAUAUAACAAGCUAACUUAUGAUUCAGGAUUGUUUAUUCAACAUACAUACUUGUGAAUUGGUGAGGCAGUAAGACUUGUAAAAGUUCAGGAGACCCCAAGUCCAAUUGAAAAGAAGGGUACGUACACAUUUUUCUUUUCCA